AGUGAACGCUGGCGGUAUGCCUAACACAUGCAAGUCGAACGGCAGCACAGUAAGAGCUUGCUCUUACGGGUGGCGAGUGGCGGACGGGUGAGGAAUACAUCGGAAUCUACUUUUUCGUGGGGGAUAACGUAGGGAAACUUACGCUAAUACCGCAUACGACCUACGGGUGAAAUCAGGGGAUCUUCGGACCUUGCGCGAUUGAAUGAGCCGAUGUCGGAUUAGCUAGUUGGCGGGGUAAAGGCCCACCAAGGCGACGAUCCGUAGCUGGUCUGAGAGGAUGAUCAGCCACACUGGAACUGAGACACGGUCCAGACUCCUACGGGAGGCAGCAGUGGGGAAUAUUGGACAAUGGGCGCAAGCCUGACCCAGCAAUACCGCGUGGGUGAAGAAGGCCUUCGGGUUGUAAAGCCCUUUUGUUGGGAAAGAAAAGAAGCAGGUUAAUACCCCGCUGUUCUGACGGUACCCAAAGAAUAAGCACCGGCUAACUUCGUG
Molecule: ribosomal RNA, 492 nt
Filed under: uncultured bacterium
Lineage: Bacteria
Description: partial 16S ribosomal RNA
Rfam family: Bacterial small subunit ribosomal RNA
Source: RNAcentral